RNAcentral lists this ribosomal RNA (253 nucleotides) under uncultured bacterium. RNAcentral's name for it is "partial 16S ribosomal RNA". It matches the Rfam family "Bacterial small subunit ribosomal RNA", at positions 524 to 776 of the family's 1533-position model. The record is from RNAcentral.
GACGGGGGGUGCAAGCGUUGUUCGGAAUUACUGGGCGUAAAGAGCGUGUAGGCGGUUAAUUAAGCCGGAUGUGAAAGCCCUUGGCUUAACCAAGGAAGUGCAUCCGAAACUGGUUGACGUGAGUACGGGAGAGGAGAGUGGAAUUCCUGGAGUAGAGGUGAAAUUCGUAGAUCUCAGGAGGAACACCGGUGGCGAAGGCGACUCUCUGGACCGAUACUGACGCUGAGACGCGAAAGCGUGGGGAGCAAACAGG